AGUGAACGCUGGCGGUAGGCCUAACACAUGCAAGUCGAACGGCAGCACAGUAAGAGCUUGCUCUUACGGGUGGCGAGUGGCGGACGGGUGAGGAAUACAUCGGAAUCUACCUUUUCGUGGGGGAUAACGUAGGGAAACUUACGCUAAUACCGCAUACGACCUACGGGUGAAAGCAGGGGAUCUUCGGACCUUGCGCGAUUGAAUGAGCCGAUGUCGGAUUAGCUAGUUGGCGCGGUAAAGGCCCACCAAGGCGACGAUCCGUAGCUGGUCUGAGAGGAUGAUCAGCCACACUGGAACUGAGACACGGUCCAGACUCCUACGGGAGGCAGCAGUGGGGAAUAUUGGACAAUGGGCGCAAGCCUGAUCCAGCCAUACCGCGUGGGUGAAGAAGGCCUUCGGGUUGUAAAGCCCUUUUGCUGGGAAAGAAAAGCAGCAGGUUAAUACCCCGCUGUUCUGACGGUACCCAAAGAAUAAGCACCGGCUAACUUCGUG
Molecule: ribosomal RNA, 492 nt
Filed under: uncultured bacterium
Lineage: Bacteria
Description: partial 16S ribosomal RNA
Rfam family: Bacterial small subunit ribosomal RNA
Source: RNAcentral